Molecule: unclassified non-coding RNA, 314 nt
Filed under: plant metagenome
Description: partial contains 5.8S ribosomal RNA, internal transcribed spacer 2, and large subunit ribosomal RNA
Rfam family: 5.8S ribosomal RNA (bases 1-105)
Source: RNAcentral
GAAAUGCGAUAAUUAAUGUGAAUUGCAGAAUUCAGUGAAUCAUCGAGUCUUUGAACGCACAUUGCGCCCCCUGGUAUUCCGGGGGGCAUGCCUGUCCGAGCGUCAUUGCUGCCCUCAAGCACGGCUUGUGUGUUGGGCUUCCGUCCCUGGCAACGGGGACUGGCCCAAAAGGCAGUGGCGGCACCAUGUCUGGUCCUCGAGCGUAUGGGGCUUUGUCACCCGCUCCCGUAGGUCCAGCUGGCAGCUAGCCUCGCAACCAAUCUUUUUAACCAGGUUGACCUCGGAUCAGGUAUGGAUACCCGCUGAACUUAAGC